GCCGAGAUGAUGUUGAUUCCGUAUUCAUUGUAAACGACCCAUGGCAGAGGCUGCAAUGCCACACUCAGGCACCUAAAUAAAUGGCCUGACCUUUCUCAAAUGCUGAAUACCAAGAACUUCUCACUCGAAUCUGCUGAAGCCGUGGCUGUUCAGCUCCUCUGAAAAUCAAUCCACUCGUUUAGAUGCCUGAAUAUGAAUGUUAGUGCCAGACUUUGGACAGUGACAUAGGAAGACAUUGGCCUGAGCCUAUGCAUGGACUCUCAUCCUACAAUCCAACCCCUCAACAGAUAUAUCCCAGCUUCUGACUGUGAGCCAUUCAGCUACAAUGGGGAGGCCUAGAUGCUGUAAGUGAAUUAACAGAUAAUGAUAGAUAGACAGAUAUAUAGUAUAAGCUAUUCUUUCUACCAUCUGCCGUACGGAUUUGCUCUGUAGAGCUUGCUGUACCUCAUGGGUAUUUAUGUUCCAGAGCCCCACAUGAGAGAGGGAAGGAUUUCAGGCCCAAGUGGGGCAGGAAGAAGCACACGCUCACCUCAGUUGUCUUCUUUGCUGAGGUAAGUUUUGUUGACUUGUUGAACUGAGAUUGCAGAGCGUUGCUCAGUCCAAUAUUCUCACAACUGGCAGUGCCCCAUAUGUAUGUCUGGG
This 642-nucleotide long non-coding RNA is filed under the name Chrysemys picta bellii (western painted turtle). Its description in RNAcentral is "lncRNA (ENSCPBG00000003857.1)". Lineage: Eukaryota; Metazoa; Chordata; Testudines; Emydidae. The record is from RNAcentral.